UUACUUAACUGGGGUCUACGGGCGAUCAAGAAGGCAUGUGGCCUGGGUCAAUGGUCCACAUUGCACUUGGUGGGCGCGUUGGUCCAUCAUCUCCCCAAGUGGGAGAGUGAACGUCAUAAUUUGUGAUAGAGGGGGUACGCGUUCGCGCGGCCCCUGC
RNAcentral lists this small nuclear RNA (157 nucleotides) under Triticum aestivum (bread wheat). RNAcentral's name for it is "snRNA U1". It matches the Rfam family "U1 spliceosomal RNA". From Rfam's summary of the family: U1 is a small nuclear RNA (snRNA) component of the spliceosome (involved in pre-mRNA splicing). Its 5' end forms complementary base pairs with the 5' splice junction, thus defining the 5' donor site of an intron. Lineage: Eukaryota; Viridiplantae; Streptophyta; Magnoliopsida; Poales; Poaceae. The record is from RNAcentral.